Molecule: transfer RNA, 72 nt
Filed under: Bos taurus (domestic cattle)
Lineage: Eukaryota; Metazoa; Chordata; Mammalia; Artiodactyla; Bovidae
Also listed under: 4 other names
Rfam family: tRNA
About the family: Transfer RNA (tRNA) molecules are approximately 80 nucleotides in length.
Source: Rfam by way of RNAcentral
UCCCUGGUGGCUUAGACGGUAAAGCGUCUGCCUGCAGUGCACGAGACCCGGGUGUGAUCCCUGGGUCGGGAA